This 252-nucleotide ribosomal RNA is filed under the name uncultured bacterium. Its description in RNAcentral is "partial 16S ribosomal RNA". It matches the Rfam family "Bacterial small subunit ribosomal RNA", at positions 524 to 776 of the family's 1533-position model. The record is from RNAcentral.
UACAGAGGUCUCAAGCGUUGUUCGGAUUCAUUGGGCGUAAAGGGUGCGUAGGCGGCGCGGUAAGUCGGGUGUGAAAUCUUGGAGCUUAACUCCGAAACUGCAUUCGAUACUGCCGUGCUUGAGGACUGGAGAGGAGACUGGAAUUUACGGUGUAGCGGUGAAAUGCGUAGAUAUCGUAAGGAAGACCAGUGGCGAAGGCGGGUCUCUGGACAGUUCCUGACGCUGAGGCACGAAGGUCAGGGAGCAAACGGG